CUACCGGGGUAUCUAAUCCUGUUUGCUCCCCACGCUUUCGUGCCUCAGCGUCAGUGUUGUCCCAGAUGGCCGCCUUCGCCACUGAUGUUCCUCCCGAUCUCUACGCAUUUCACCGCUACACCGGGAAUUCCACCAUCCUCUGACACACUCUAGCCUCUCAGUAUCCACUGCAGUUCCCAGGUUGAGCCCAGGGCUUUCACAACGGACUUAAGAAACCACCUACGCACGCUUUACGCCCAGUAAUUCCGACUAACGCUUGCACCCUUCGUAUUACCGCGGCUGCUGGCAC
Molecule: ribosomal RNA, 289 nt
Filed under: uncultured Lysobacteraceae bacterium
Lineage: Bacteria; Pseudomonadati; Pseudomonadota; Gammaproteobacteria; Lysobacterales; Lysobacteraceae
Description: uncultured Xanthomonadaceae bacterium partial 16S ribosomal RNA
Source: RNAcentral